UUAAGCGACUAAGCGUACACGGUGGAUGCCCUGGCAGUCAGAGGCGAUGAAGGACGUGCUAAUCUGCGAAAAGCGUCGGUAAGGUGAUAUGAACCGUUAUAGCCGGCGAUGUCCGAAUGGGGAAACCCAGUGCAAUUCGUUGCACUAUCGUUAACUGAAUACAUAGGUUAACGAGGCGAACCGGGGGAACUGAAACAUCUAAGUACCCCGAGGAAAAGAAAUCAACCGAGAUUCCCCCAGUAGCGGCGAGCGAACGGGAGCAGCCCAGAGUCUGAAUCAGCUUGUGUGUUAGUGGAACGGUCUGGAAAGUCCGACGGUACAGGGUGAUAGUCCCGUACACCAAAAUGCACAGGCUGUGAACUCGAAGAGUAGGGCGGGACACGUGGUAUCCUGUCUGAAUAUGGGGGGACCAUCCUCCAAGGCUAAAUACUCCUGACUGACCGAUAGUGAACCAGUACCGUGAGGGAAAGGCGAAAAGAACCCCGGCGAGGGAGUGAAAAAGAACCUGAAACCGUGUACGUACAAGCAGUGGGAGCACCUUCGGGUGUGACUGCGUACCUUUUGUAUAAUGGGUCAGCGACUUAUAUUCUGUAGCAAGGUUAACCGUAUAGGGGAGCCGCAGGGAAACCGAGUCUUAACUGGGCGUUAAGUUGCAGGGUAUAGACCCGAAACCCGGUGAUCUAGCCAUGGGCAGGUUGAAGGUUGGGUAACACUAACUGGAGGACCGAACCGACUAAUGUUGAAAAAUUAGCGGAUGACUUGUGGCUGGGGGUGAAAGGCCAAUCAAACCGGGAGAUAGCUGGUUCUCCCCGAAAGCUAUUUAGGUAGCGCCUCGUGAACUCAUCUUCGGGGGUAGAGCACUGUUUCGGCUAGGGGGUCAUCCCGACUUACCAACCCGAUGCAAACUACGAAUACCGAAGAAUGUUAUCACGGGAGACACACGGCGGGUGCUAACGUCCGUCGUGAAGAGGGAAACAACCCAGACCGCCAGCUAAGGUCCCAAAGUCAUGGUUAAGUGGGAAACGAUGUGGGAAGGCACAGACAGCCAGGAUGUUGGCUUAGAAGCAGCCAUCAUUUAAAGAAAGCGUAAUAGCUCACUGGUCGAGUCGGCCUGCGCGGAAGAUGUAACGGGGCUAAACCAUGCACCGAAGCUGCGGCAGCGACACUAUGUGUUGUUGGGUAGGGGAGCGUUCUGUAAGCCUGCGAAGGUGUGCUGUGAGGCAUGCUGGAGGUAUCAGAAGUGCGAAUGCUGACAUAAGUAACGAUAAAGCGGGUGAAAAGCCCGCUCGCCGGAAGACCAAGGGUUCCUGUCCAACGUUAAUCGGGGCAGGGUGAGUCGACCCCUAAGGCGAGGCCGAAAGGCGUAGUCGAUGGGAAACAGGUUAAUAUUCCUGUACUUGGUGUUACUGCGAAGGGGGACGGAGAAGGCUAUGUUAGCCGGGCGACGGUUGUCCCGGUUUAAGCAUGUAGGCUGGUUGUCCAGGCAAAUCCGGAUAAUCAAGGCUGAGGUGUGAUGACGAGGCACUACGGUGCUGAAGUAACAAAUGCCCUGCUUCCAGGAAAAGCCUCUAAGCAUCAGGUAACAUCAAAUCGUACCCCAAACCGACACAGGUGGUCAGGUAGAGAAUACCAAGGCGCUUGAGAGAACUCGGGUGAAGGAACUAGGCAAAAUGGUGCCGUAACUUCGGGAGAAGGCACGCUGGUGUGUAGGUGAAGUCCCUGCGGAUGGAGCUGAGACCAGUCGAAGAUACCAGCUGGCUGCAACUGUUUAUUAAAAACACAGCACUGUGCAAACACGAAAGUGGACGUAUACGGUGUGACGCCUGCCCGGUGCCGGAAGGUUAAUUGAUGGGGUUAUCCGUAAGGAGAAGCUCUUGAUCGAAGCCCCGGUAAACGGCGGCCGUAACUAUAACGGUCCUAAGGUAGCGAAAUUCCUUGUCGGGUAAGUUCCGACCUGCACGAAUGGCGUAAUGAUGGCCAGGCUGUCUCCACCCGAGACUCAGUGAAAUUGAACUCGCUGUGAAGAUGCAGUGUACCCGCGGCAAGACGGAAAGACCCCGUGAACCUUUACUAUAGCUUGACACUGAACAUUGAGCCUUGAUGUGUAGGAUAGGUGGGAGGCUUUGAAGCGUGGACGCCAGUCUGCGUGGAGCCAACCUUGAAAUACCACCCUUUAAUGUUUGAUGUUCUAACGUUGGCCCCUUACCGGGGUUGCGGACAGUGUCUGGUGGGUAGUUUGACUGGGGCGGUCUCCUCCCAAAGCGUAACGGAGGAGCACGAAGGUUAGCUAAUCCUGGUCGGACAUCAGGAGGUUAGUGCAAUGGCAUAAGCUAGCUUGACUGCGAGCGUGACGGCGCGAGCAGGUGCGAAAGCAGGUCAUAGUGAUCCGGUGGUUCUGAAUGGAAGGGCCAUCGCUCAACGGAUAAAAGGUACUCCGGGGAUAACAGGCUGAUACCGCCCAAGAGUUCAUAUCGACGGCGGUGUUUGGCACCUCGAUGUCGGCUCAUCACAUCCUGGGGCUGAAGUAGGUCCCAAGGGUAUGGCUGUUCGCCAUUUAAAGUGGUACGCGAGCUGGGUUUAGAACGUCGUGAGACAGUUCGGUCCCUAUCUGCCGUGGGCGCUGGAGAAUUGAGGGGGGCUGCUCCUAGUACGAGAGGACCGGAGUGGACGCAUCACUGGUGUUCGGGUUGUCAUGCCAAUGGCACUGCCCGGUAGCUAAAUGCGGAAGAGAUAAGUGCUGAAAGCAUCUAAGCACGAAACUUGCCCCGAGAUGAGUUCUCCCUGAGACUUUAAGUCUCCUGAAGGAACGUUAAAGACGAUGACGUUGAUAGGCCGGGUGUGUAAGCGCAGCGAUGCGUUGAGCUAACCGGUACUAAUGAACCGUGAGGCUUAACCUU
RNAcentral lists this ribosomal RNA (2897 nucleotides) under Klebsiella pneumoniae. RNAcentral describes it as "bacterial LSU rRNA". It matches the Rfam family "Bacterial large subunit ribosomal RNA". The record is from RNAcentral. Lineage: Bacteria; Pseudomonadati; Pseudomonadota; Gammaproteobacteria; Enterobacterales; Enterobacteriaceae.